Molecule: transfer-messenger RNA, 369 nt
Filed under: Terriglobales
Lineage: Bacteria; Pseudomonadati; Acidobacteriota; Terriglobia
Also listed under: 2 other names
Description: Gp1-AA122 sp003225055 Standard tmRNA
Rfam family: transfer-messenger RNA
About the family: Bacterial tmRNA, also known as 10Sa RNA or SsrA, is named for its dual tRNA and mRNA-like properties. Its role is to liberate the mRNA from a stalled ribosome.
Source: RNAcentral
GGGGGCGUCACGGCUUCGACGAAGAUGCUUGCGGCCAAGAGGCAUGCCGGGGUGCACACACCCGCAAUCGAGUGCAAAACAAUAAUUGCCAAUCAACAGAUGGCAUACGCUGCUUAAUUAAUUAAGUAGCCGUCCUCUGCGGCUUUGCCCGUGGGCCGCAGAAGGGCGUCGCACAGCGGGCUGGCUCUGGUAGCUACGUCUGGGUUAUCGGAGCGAGACCUUCAGGCUAGCGGCUUGCGUUUCUUGUCCGUUCUGAGCGUCGGCCGCGAACGUUCCAGGGUAAUGCCUGGGGCAGGAACCGGACUAAGCAUGUAGGCUCUUGACCAGUGACAUUUUCGGACGCGGGUUCGACUCCCGCCGCCUCCACCA